Oryctolagus cuniculus (rabbit) is the source of this 8136-nucleotide non-coding RNA. The record is from RefSeq and is a predicted model, not a curated record. Lineage: Eukaryota; Metazoa; Chordata; Mammalia; Lagomorpha; Leporidae.
AUAAACUUUUAAAGUAUCAUUUCUUUUUUAAAGAUUUAUUUAUUUAUUUGAGAGGUAGAGUCUCAGACAGGGAAAGGAGAGACAGAGAGAGAGGUCUUCCAUCUGAUGGUUCACUCCCCAAAUAGUUGAAAUGGCCAGAGCCGGGCCAAUCCGCAGUCAGGAGCCAGGAGCUGCCUCUGGAUCCCCUACGUGGGUGCAGGGGCCCAAGCACCUGGGCCAUCUUCCACUGCCUUCCCAGGCCAUAGCAGAGAGCUGGAUCGGAAGAGGAGCAGCCAGGACACAAACCAGCGUGUCCACACAAGACGCUGAUGCUGCAGCACCAGCCCCUUAAGUAUCCCUUAUAGAAAAAAAAAAAAAAAAAGCACAGUGGUUUCCGGAGUCAUACUCUGAGUGCUAGAGGGUGACAGCUUCUUCCUUUUAAGGUGACUGCCUCCUUUUGCACCUGAGAUGAUUGACAGCAAUGACGCAAUGACAGCCCUGGUGCAUUUGGGGCACAGAGGGAGACUCAUUUCUGCUGGCGCCGUUACAAACUAGUUUGCAUGCAAAAAUUUUCACACAGUACAGGGCGUUCAGAAAACACCCCCUAUCUUCCCUGUCUUCCUUUGCUAAAAGUCACCUCCUAAGCUAGGACUGGUCCACGCCUCCUUGUCCCGUGCCAGCCCACACUUAGUUUAUUAAUUCCACAGUCAUCAAAAUGACAUCAUCACAGCACAUGGACUGGCGAGGGUCCCAGGCUCAGUCCCUCCAGCCGCCUCUCACACCUGCACCCCACCCACGUGUGCCUUUUUUCAGGCCCUUGGAUUCGCUGCCGUGGCCUGAACGUGUGUCCCUCACACCCCUUCCCAACUCAGGAUUUAGUCCCCAAGGACUGAUGUCAGUGUGGUAGGAACUCCGUCCAAUCAUAGCAGAGAGGCGGGGCCUUGGGGAGUGAUUAAACUGGACCAGGUCGUCAGGGUGGGGCCCCGUGUCUGCGCCUUGCAGCUUUACAGGAGACCUUAGCCGGCCCAGCCCAGCCCAGCCCAGCCCUUCUCUUGUCCGGCGACACCCUUGCCUCCUGGGGAACAGCCAGCGAGAGGUGCCUCUGUGGGGUAACUGACAUGGCAGGUGCCGUCAAACCUCAAGACUGGUGCCUGGAGCUCGCCUCCCUGGACGAAUCAGUGCCUCCCACACUCAGCGCCUGUGGAGCAGGGAGUCUCUUCUUCACAGGUGUAUGCUUUUGAUCAGCCUCUGGCUGAACUUGGCCCUUACAGCAGGAAAGCAGCCACGCACAGUAGUCACCCGGCGAGCCCCACCGAGCCCCAGUAACACUCCACCCGACAAGCACGACAGCGAGCUGCAGUUGCCCGACAGCCAGUUUACUGAGCGUUGUUCUAGAACCUGGACCAAAGCCACUCCUGAGGCCGUGUCUGCGUCGCUCGGUCCAGUCUGCCAGGUCAAGCCAUGAGCUCCGGCCUUUCCUGUCGUCCCUCUGCCGCCUCCUCCAGCGGCGUAUGUGUUUCUCCAUUGUCAUGGACACUUUGCGUCAUUCUUUAAAACCUUCAGCCAUGCUUGAACAAAACCCACAGGAGACUACAAGCUCUUCAACCUGCGCCCAGCGGCUAUGCUGUCCUCCGUUAAACAGCAACGGGGCAUUAUAAAUGUUCAUGACAAUACUGCAUUCAGAAGGAAGACAUUCGGAGCAGGAGCUCAUUCUAUUGGAUUUGAAAACAUUUGAUAAUCUGGGAUACAAAUUUCUUCCAGAAGUUGGUGGAGUGGACAGUAAGAGAGACAGAGAGAAAGGUCUUCCUUUGCUGUUGGUUCACCGCCCCAAAUGGCUGCUGCAGCCGGCGCACCACGCUGAUCCGAAGCCAGGAGCCAGGUGCUUCUCCUGGUCUCCCAUGGGGUGCAGGGCCCAAGCACUUGGGCCAUCCUCCGCUGCACUCCCUGGCCACAGCAGAGAGCUGGACUGGAAGAGGGGUAACCAGGACAGAAUCUGGUGCCCCGACCGGAACUAGAUCCCGGGGUGCCGGCACUGCAGGUGGAGGAUUAGCCUAGUGAGCCGCGGCGCCGGCUGCUCCACUUCUGAUCUAGCCCUCUGCUAUGGCCUGGGAAAACAGUAGAAGAUGGCCCAUCUUCUGCUGUACCCAUGUGGGAGACCCGGAAGAAGCUCCAGGCUCCUGGCUUGAGAUUGGCGCAGCUCCGGCCAUUGCGGCCAUCUGGGAAAUGAGCAGAGACUGUCUUCUCCAUGGACAUCAGGGAAGCAGAGAGCAGGUGGCUGACAGCAGAGCGUGGCCUUGAGCCUGCCCUCCCUCCCCACCCCCUCGCAUGGCCCAGGGCAGAGCUGGGGGCACAGACCGUGAGCACUCACCCCACAGCCACUUUCCUCCUGCUAAGCGGUGCCAGCUCCCCUAACGAGAGCAAACCCCAGGGCGGGACUGCCCAGGCCGGCCCUGGAAGAAUUCCCACGUGGAGCUCCUGAUCCCCACUCUGACCUCCGGAUUCACCAAGACACACCUUCCCCCGAGAGACGGUCACGAGGCAGCCUUGGGGACACACUCGUCCCUUGAGCGUCAAGUCCUGGAGGUGGCCCAGCCCUCCCUCUGCAAAGCACAGCCUGAGCCAAGGUGUUGGAAUAGGACCAGAGUGGGUGCUCAGGCCGACGUGGGACAAGCGCACACGGCCAAGAUGCCCUCUGCUUCCGCAUCAGAGCCCAAGAGGCAAAGGCCGGCUCCCAGCUGCCUGCGGCCAGGCCCCUGCGCUCUGGUUAUUCAUCAAGCUCUGACCUUUUCCCAGUGACUGGAGCUGGGCACCUCUUCCUCGCGGUGCUGGUGCGGGAGCGCCCCACCCUGCAGGCGUGCCCUGGCUCACCUUGCGGGCCCCUGCGGAGCGAGAGCAGCGCAGUCACACUACAGCCCUAUCGAUUGCAUGCGCUCACUGCUCGGUGACAGCAUUGCGUUACCACCGGAGCCCAGGAGUCUUCUGGCUGAAGAAGUGCUUCACCCCACGGACCCACCCGCGGGCUGCCAAGUGCUCCUCACCCAUCACGCCCUUCCCGGCGCACAGCUGUUGGCCUCGUUCCCACCUGACGGAGGGGGAGCGGGGUGCCCAGGGUCGCCCCACCAGACCCAGCUCCUUCAACAGGGAGCGCGGGGGCUGAGACAGGUGGCCUCCUGGGGAGAAGGGGGAGCGAGAAGAAGGGGACGGAGCCAGCAGGGUGGGUGGAAAUGCAGAGACGCUGUUGGACAAUAGACCCGAGUUGAGAUCAGCACUGUCCCAGAUAACGGGAGCAGGCCAGCCAAGGAGGGAAGUCAGGAGCUAACUAUAGACCGAGGCCCACGCCGGUGAGGACCCAGGCGUCCCCUCCUGGGGGGUGGAUUUUCCAUCCUGCCCAUUGUCCCCUGCACUGACUCCAGUCUAAACCGAGAUGCGGGACAGGACAGCGAGGGCCCCAUAGCCGGAGAGUGUGUCCAGCUCUGUGGCCGGUUUUACAGGAGAGAGGAACUCCGCCAGGUGGUGCUGGUGUGGGCAGUUCUGAGAAGCCGAAGGAGCGAGGCGGGUGCUGGGUGAAUCCCUGGACACUUAGGUGCGGGAAGAGCAGAGUUCCCGGGAGCCGGCCGGCGGGGAGGCCACCCCCACCCAUCCUCUCCGAUGUGGAGCCCGUGGCGGGUGGCCCGUCCUGGCUCUGCUGAGUGGUGGGGGAGUGGGGCAGAAGGCCCUGCUGCAGCUGGGGUAGCCGGGGGGCCUCUCUGAGAGCUGACCUUGGGGCCCCCGGGAUCAGCCCCAGGAAGGGGAGAGAUGGCCUAGCAGGGAACCCCACGUGCAGAUCCCAGAGGUGAGAAGGAGCUUGAGGUCCUUUUAAAAGAGAGAAGCAAGCAGGCACACAGGCCAGAGUGGCCAGAGAGGACUGAGCUGGGGGGAGAGGCAGGGUCUGGGCAUGUGCGGGGGUCUUGUUCUACACGCAGCUAGAAACCCGUGUGUGCUUCUGCAGGGGCUCGGAGGGGCGCACGUCCUGAGAAGUCCCCCUCACCACUCUGCAGAGAGCAGACCCAGAGCAGGGCAAGUGGGGACAGGCAUUGUGGUCCAACUGCUUGGGUACCCACAGCCGUCUGCAGUGCCUGGGAUGGGAUCCCACCCCCUUCUCCCAUCCAGCUUCCUGCCAAUGGCCUGGGAGGCAGCGGAUGAUGGCCCGAGUACUCAGGUCCCUGCUGUCCAUAUGGAGACCUGGCUGGAGUUCCUGGCUCCUGGCUUCUGCCUGGUCCAGCCCUGGCUCUUGCAGAGUGAAUCAGCAGAUGGAAGAUGUCUCUCUCUGUCUCCAUCGCUCUGUCCUUGAAAUAAAUCGGGCCAGCACACCUGUGUAUCUGGAACGCACAGCUGCUCUCUGGGCUGGAGAUAGGAAAAUGCAGGGGUCAUUAGCAGGAAGAUGCUACCUAAAGCCGGGGGAAUAGAUGAAGUCCCACAGGAGACACGGGCAGGGGGCUGUGCGCAACACUGCAGCACCCACCGACCAGGUGCGGAUGGGGAGCCUGCAGCUGCUCCAGUCAGCCUAACACUGCAGAGCCCGCGGGCCCAGCUGCACCUGCCCAGGCACUGGAAUCCGCAGGGCAGUGCGGCCUUUGUCCUUGAGGACCACAGCAGAUGCAGGAGACAGCGGUAGGAGCCAAUCAUUGUAGCAGGUGUGACAAAGUAGUUACAGGGAUGGCCCCAGGACAAGGAACUAGAAUUGUCUGCAGGCCCACGUCCUGGAAGCUGGGGGCGUCCGAGGGAAAGAGAGAAACAGAGCAGACGCCGGGGGCUGUUCUGGACCUGAUGUCCUGGCUCCAGAUCUCCGAUGACCCCGUGAUCCUCUCCCCCGCCCCCGCACUCCCGAGUCAGCCUGCAGGUUUCCCAUACAGCCCCAUCUCCCCCCCAGAACCCCUGCCCCCCACACCAUUUCCCGCAGGCCCCAGGCCUCCGGCCCUUCCCCCCAGGCCGGCUCCAUAGCAGGAGAACUGAUUUCUAAAGCCAGGAUUGAGAGACCGCGGCCUGGAGCCCUGCCCUCCAUGGAGGCGAGGCGGGGUGUUGUCUCAGACAGUUGCUUCAUUUCCUGCCGUUGAGAAAUCACGCAUGUUGAUCAGCUUAUAUUUCACAGGACUUGAAGCACAUGGAGGCCUCUGACCCCAUGAGCUCCUCAGAGAACAGCAAGGUUAACCCCCUCUAGCCCACAGCCGAGCCCCACUCCCACACCACGGGCAGCGCGGGGCUCCCCGGCUUUGCAGCCCUGGCCAUGGUGCCCACGUGGCUGUCUCCUGUGCCUGUGCUCAAAGAACCUGCACAACCUGGCCCCAGCCUCCCUCCUCCCCUGGGCCUGGUCCAGCCUGGACAGCCUGGCCCUAAGCUGAGGUCGAGGCCCUGUGUCUCAUUCACAGGGCACUGCCCAAGGCGGUGGCCAGGUCCGAACUCUCGAUCAACACCCUGUGUCUGGGCUGACGCCCUGAACAUCCAGCAUUCUCUCGACACCCAGCCAGGGAGGGUGUCUCCGUCCUCUGAACACGUUUCGCCUGUCGCUGUUCACUGUUUAUUGCUAUUUCAUCCUGCACUGCAUCAUUCUGGGGGCAUGCAACCCCCCACCCCCAGACCCUAGAACUCCAGGAGAUGAAGCUUCAAGUCUGAAGCCAAAUUUUGGUCGCCUCCUCCCACUGGCACAGCCGAGCGUUGUGCAAUGGACCAGUGUGGGUGACGGGUGCAUCGGGGGAACGUGAGCUGGUGUGGGAAGUGCAGCCUAGUGCUUGAUUCUUAAACGAUGAUUUAUUUGUCUAAUUUCCUUGAAAGGCAGAGAGAGAGACAGAGACAGACAGACAGAGACACAGGAAGACAUUUCCCAUCCUCCGGUUCACUCUUCAAAGGCCCACCAAGGCCAAGACGCAGAGUCUCCCAUGUGGGUGGCAGGGAGCCAGGUCCUUGGGCCAUUGCCUGUGGCUUCCCAGGGUGUGCAUCAGUUGGUAGCUGGGACUGGGAGCAGAGCCAGGCCUGCGGCGUGGGUGCUCCGAUAUGAGAUGCCGGAGCCGUAAGUGGCAUCUUAGCUGCUGAGCCAGUGCCAUCUCCCCCGGCUGGGUUUAUUGGUUCUGCAUGAAAAUGCGCUUCCGACUAAAAGGGGUAGAGAGCCAUUCAUUCACUUGUUCACUUACAAGCCUCUUUUUUUUUUUUUAAGAUUUAUUUUAUUUAUUUGAAAUAGCUAUAGAGAGAGGUAGAGUCAGAGAGAGAGGUCUUCCAUCCACUGGUUCACUCCCCAGUUGACUGAAACGGCUGGAGCGGAGCUGAUCCCAAGCCAGGAGCCAGGAGCUUCUUCUGGGGCUCCCACAUGGGUGCAGGGGCCCAAGGACUUGGGCCAUCCUCUACUGCUUUCCCAGGCCAUAGCAGAGAGCUGGAUUGGAAGAGGAGCAGCCAGGACUCGAACCAGCGCCCAUUACAGGAUGCUGGCACUGCAGGCCAGGGCUGUAACCCACUGCACCACAGCACCGGCCCCUCAAAAGCCUCUUUUUAACAGCUACUACGUGCAGAAGUGGCGUUGGUGCUGCAGACGUAGCAAUAAACAAGACCGGUGAAUCCUGCUCCCAUGGGGACUCUCCCGGCCUGGGGGAUAGAGAAUCAACACGGAAAACAUCACGUCCUGGCAAGCACCGUGAUAAAAAUAAGUCAGAGUGUGGGGGGGAGUGACUGGGGAGGGCUGGGAGCCGCGCUCCAGGGCAGACCUGAAGGAGGAGCCACGGGGCCCGGUCGUCCACACAGGAACCUGCCGCAGAGCGAGCCCCCGGCCGUCGCGUGGAGACCUGGGGAGGCUGGGAGAAGACAGGGCGAGCUGGGAAGGGGAGGAAGGAAGGAGGCUAAGGUGAACCGGGCAAUGGACGCAGACGAUCCCCAGCCGGACAGGGAGCCAACGAGGGGGGCAGUGCGAGGAGACGCUCCCCGAAGAUGGGACUUCGGGCAGCUUUCUUUUCUUUUCUUCUUCUUUUUUUUUAAGAUUUAUUUUAUUUAUUUGAAAGAGUUACAGAGAGAGGUAGAGACAGAAAGAGAGGUCUUCCAUCUGCUGGUUCAUUCCCCAGAUGGCCACAACGGCCGGAGCUGUGCCGAUCCAAAGCCAGGAGCCAGGAGCCUCCUCUGGGUCUCCCAUGUGGGUGCAGGGGCCCAAGGACUUGAGCCAUCUUUCACUGCUUUCCCAGGCCAUAGCAGAGAGCUAGAUCAGAAGUGGAGCAGCCGGGACUAGAACCGGGGCCCAUAUGGGAUGCUGGCGCUUUAGGCCAGGUCGUUAACCCACUACAUCACAGCGCCGGCCCCUCUUUUUUUUUUUUUUUUUAAGAUUUAUUUUUAUUUAUUUGAAAGACAGAGAAAGAGGUCUUCCAUCCACUGGUGCACUCCCUAAAUGACUCCAACUACUCGGGGAGGAGCCAGGCUGAAGCCAGGAUCUUCUUCUGAGUCUCCCAUGUGAGUGGCAGGGCCCAAGCACUUGGGCCAUCUUCCACUGCUUUCCCAGGCCAUCAGCAGGGAGCUGGAUCAGAAGUGGAGCAGCUGGGACUUGAACCAGCGCCCAUAUGGGAUGCCGGUGCUGCAGGCAGAGACUUAACGGACUACGCCACAGCAUCGACCCCCUUGGACAACUUUCCAAGUCUGACUUUCCUUGUCUGCAAAACACCUAACUUUGAGAGUUCUUGGGAAGAUUGAAGGCUGUAACGGGAAGAGGCAGCUCUGUGACCAGCGCAGGCACCCGAAAUCUGCGCUCUCCGCUUCCUCCUCUUCCUCCCACUGCCCCCCCUUUCCUCUCUCUCUCUCUCUCUCUCUCUCUCUCUCUCUCUCUCUCUCUCCACCAUUCCUCGCCCUGUCUUUCCUUCACCAUCUUUCAAGCCACAGCUCCCCAGCUGCCCCAGACUUGUUAGACGGUCUCUAAAGACUGAAUCGAUCACGCUUAUUUUGGGCCGCUGAGCCUUGCGUUCACGGUCAGGCGUCGGAAUGGUUUCUGCCGCUCUCUUGAUUAAAGAGCCCGCAGCAGCGUCCGCACGUAAAUGAAGCGAUUUUGCACAAUGAUGUGACUCGCAUGAUUUGGUUUUUCCACUGAAGUCACCGUCCCUUAAUAGAAGAUGGCUCCCACCACUGGAUUAAGGGAUUAGGAAGAGGCUGUCUCCAGGC